Oncorhynchus tshawytscha (Chinook salmon) is the source of this 377-nucleotide long non-coding RNA. The record is from Ensembl. NCBI's taxonomy places the organism in Eukaryota, Metazoa, Chordata, Actinopteri, Salmoniformes, Salmonidae.
GGAGCAGAGAGGAAGAGAAAGGCAGAGAGGAAAGGAGCAGAGAGGAAGAGAAAGGCAGAGAGGAAAGGAGCAGAGAGGAAGAGAAAGGCAGAGAGGAGAGGAGCAGAGAGGAAGAGAAAGGCAGAGAGGAGAGAGAAAGGCAGAGAGGAGAGGAGCAGAGAGGAAGAGAAAGGCAGAGAGGAAAGGAGCAGAGAGGAAGAGAAAGGCAGAGAGAGAGGAGGAAAGCAGAGAGGAGAGGAGCAGAGAGGAAGAGAAAGGCAGAGAGGAGAGGAGCAGAGAGGAAGAGAAAGGCAGAGAGGAAAGGAGCAGAGAGGAAGAGAAAGGCAGAGAGGAAAGGAGCAGAGAGGAAGAGAAAGGCAGAGAGGAGAGGAGCAGAG